Molecule: long non-coding RNA, 352 nt
Organism: Sapajus apella (tufted capuchin)
Lineage: Eukaryota; Metazoa; Chordata; Mammalia; Primates; Cebidae
Exons: 4
Source: RefSeq, a predicted model, not a curated record
UGCACGUAAGGAGGUGUGUAGGUGAGCAGCUGUGGUGUAGGUGAGCAGGUGUGCAGGUGAGCAAGUGUACGGGUGAGCAGGUGUGUGGGUGAGCAGCUAUGGUGUAGGUGAGCAGUUGUACUGUAGGUGAGCAGGUGUGCAGGUGAGGAGGUGUAUAGGUGAACAACUGUGGUGUAGGUGAGCAGGUGUGGUGCAGGUGAGCAGGUGAGCAGGUGUGUAGGUGAGCAGCUGUGGUACAGAUAAGCAGGUGUGUAGGUGAGCAGCUGUGGUGCAGGUGAGGUGUGAUGCAGGUGAGCAGGUAUACGGGUGAGCAGGUGAGGAGGUAUGGUGUAGGUGAGCAGGUGUGCAUGUG